This 499-nucleotide ribosomal RNA is filed under the name uncultured bacterium. RNAcentral's name for it is "partial 16S ribosomal RNA". It matches the Rfam family "Bacterial small subunit ribosomal RNA", at positions 28 to 506 of the family's 1533-position model. The record is from RNAcentral.
GACGAACGCUGGCGGCGUGCUUAACACAUGCAAGUCGAACGGGUCUGCCCUGUUUUUUGCGGGGUGGGUCAGUGGCGAACGGGUGAGUAACACGUGAGUAACCUGCCCCUCACUUCUGGAUAACCGCUUGAAAGGGUGGCUAAUACGGGGUGUUCUGGCUGUGCCGCAUGGUGUGGCUGGGAAAGAUUCACUUUUGUGGUGUUUUGGUGGGGGAUGGGCUCGCGGCCUAUCAGCUUGUUGGUGGGGUGAUGGCCUGCCAAGGCUUUGACGGGUAGCCGGCCUGAGAGGGUGGGCGGUCACACUGGGACUGAGAUACGGCCCAGACUCCUGCGGGAGGCAGCAGUGGGGGGUAUUGCACAAUGGGCGGAAGCCUGAUGCAGCGACGUCGCGUGAGGGAUGGAGGCCGUCGGGUUGUGAACCUCUUUCGCCGGUGAAGAAGGUCCUGCUCUUUGUGGUGGGGUUGACGGUAGCCGGGUUAUGAAGCGCCGGCUAACUACGU